Ribosomal RNA from Gadus morhua (Atlantic cod), 119 nucleotides. NCBI's taxonomy places the organism in Eukaryota, Metazoa, Chordata, Actinopteri, Gadiformes, Gadidae. The record is from Ensembl.
GCUUACGGCCAUACCACCCUGAACACGCCCGAUCUCGUCUGAUCUCGGAAGCUAAGCAGGGUCGGGCCUGGUUAGUACUUGGAUGGGAGACCGCCUGGGAAUACCAGGUGCUGUAAGCA